RNAcentral lists this non-coding RNA (25 nucleotides) under Drosophila melanogaster (fruit fly). Lineage: Eukaryota; Metazoa; Arthropoda; Insecta; Diptera; Drosophilidae. The record is from RNAcentral.
UUAAAUCAUACUGCUUCGUGUUAAA